Gopherus evgoodei (Goodes thornscrub tortoise) is the source of this 1783-nucleotide long non-coding RNA. RefSeq lists it as uncharacterized. The record is from RefSeq and is a predicted model, not a curated record. Lineage: Eukaryota; Metazoa; Chordata; Testudines; Testudinidae. The transcript has 4 exons.
CGCAGUGCUGGGGCUGAGGUGCUCCCGCCCCCUGUAGUCCCAGCGGGGCGGGGGAACAGCUCCCGCCAGAGCGUGGGGCAAGCGAGGGGGCUGUGGGGCCGGGCCGGUGAAGCGGGCGGUGCGAUGAACCCCUGGUCCUGGCCAAGCUGGUCACUGGCGGUUGGAAACAGGCCCCAGUUGCCUUCACUUCAGUAGUGACAGUGAAUCCAGGACCUCUACUCCAUAGGUAAUUGAAACCCUUGGAGGAGGAACAGUGGAGAGAGUCCCUUGAUGGAUGUCAGGACAGAAGAAGCGGACCAGGAACCCUCUGGAUGGUGAUGUUCUCCAGGUGCAGGACAGGAAAUGUCUACUCCUGACAACUGGUGUUGGAAUCAGAUGCAACCAUGGAUGAAAACAGUCUAAUUGCAAGUGUGGAUAGAAUGAACAUCGUUUGAAGAUCUGUCUGAUGCAAGUUAAUAUGCAGGAAAUGUUACUCACCAUUUGGAUCUAUAAAAAGGAGAGUUUCAAAAGUUGUUGCAAAGCAGACUGAAAGUACAGAUUUCCAGACUCAAGAUGCAUCCUGGAGCUGGUCACAAAAAAUUCUGCAGUGUGAUUAUGUUUCAUGCCUAUUCAUUAUCAAAUAUUACUCUAUACCUAAGAGGUUUAUACCAGACUCAACUAAUCAAAGAAAAUUAUAGCAAAACCAAGCAACCAGCUAUAAAGAAAAGUGUGUACAAUUCAAGUCAAUGCCAGCCAUUGAGAAGAGUUAAGUAAACAAGAAUGGUAUUUGCGUGCCAUGAGGCAGGAACCAUAAAACGCGUAUAAACCUAACAAUUGCCUGAACUCUUUUUUUAUAAACUAAAUGAGCAAGGAAUCAAUAAGCCCAAUCCUAGACUAGCAAGACAGUUUGGCCUUUCAAGCUAUUGAUCCCAAUUACUUUGUCUGAAUAAGACUUUAAAAAAAAAAAAUCACCACAUGUGUGUUUGAUGCUGUCCUAACAUUAGUCACACCACAUAAAAGAAAACUGGAAAAAGAAUUUCACAGUAGUAUAUGUGACAACUCCUGGGCAGAAAUUCAAGUCACCACAUUUUCCCCAUCAUGGAGAAAGUUUCAGUGGAAAGUUAUCAUAUUCUUCUCUACACUGCAGUAAUCACCAACUGAAACUCGAACAGCCAGAACCCCUGCUGAAUGUGGAUGUGGAAAGUAGGUAACCUAAAACAUUUCCUGGGACUGUCAUCCAUGCCCAAAAUUUUGGUCACAAAUACAUGCAGAAGUUUACAGAAAAUUAAAAGUAAACUUGGAUGUGAACACAGUCCACUGAACUCUGGAAAAUACUCAACUAAAUCUGAAAACAAAGAUUUUUUCAGAUUAACAGGUGCAAGCAAAUGCAUCAAAAUGCUAAACUUACAAGAAAUGAUAGGAAACAGAUCACAACCAAAGUCCAUUUUAAGGAGCAUUAGGGUUUAGCCAGAGAGCUACUUCUAAUGUGCAACAAAGAAAUGUAACAAUAACCUUGAAUUAAGAUUACACUGCUUUCUGUUUAGAAAGAUGUCCCUUUCUCUAUAUCUUAAAUAUGUGUGUGUGUAUAUAUAUAUAUACACACACACACGCACACGCAUCCCCAAAAUCGAGAUGCCUAGCUAGGUAUAACAAUUCUGCAUAAAACAUGAUACAGGCUCUACAAAAAGUACAUAUGGAUCUCUUUGCGUAUAAUAUUUCACCACAUAUCUGCACCCUUAUCUGUAUAUACAAUCCAAUUAAAAAUAUUUUACAUAUAUAUUUGAAACUAUCCCUAAUAAAACAG